CGAAGGGAAGAAAACGCGGGGAUUACCUCAGUAACGGCGAGUGAAGCGGUAACAGCUCAAAUUUGAAAGCUAGCUCUUUUAGGGUUCGCAUUGUAAUUUGUAGAAGAUGCUUCGGGUGUGGCCCCGGUCUAAGUUCCUUGGAACAGGACGUCAUAGAGGGUGAGAAUCCCGUAUGUGACUGGGUGCUUUCGCUCAUGUGAAGCUCUUUCGACGAGUCGAGUUGUUUGGGAAUGCAGCUCAAAAUGGGUGGUAAAUUUCAUCUAAAGCUAAAUAUUGGCCAGAGACCGAUAGCGCACAAGUAGAGUGAUCGAAAGAUGAAAAGCACUUUGGAAAGAGAGGUAAACAGUACGUGAAAUUGUUGAAAGGGAAACGCUUGCAACCAGACUUGCGCGCUGAUGAUCAUCCCGGCUUCUGCCCGGUGCACUCGUCUGCGCUCAGGCCAGCAUCCGUUUCAGUGGUGGGAUAAAAGGCUUGGGAAUGUGGCUCCUCUCGGGGAGUGUUAUAGCCCUCGGCGCAAUGCCCCCUACCGGGACCGAAGAACCGCGCUUCCGCUAAGAUGCUGGCCUAAUGGUUGUAAGCGACCCGCCUUGAAACCCGGACCAAGGAAUCUAACAUCUAUUCCAAUGUUUGGGGGUCAAACCCUACCCGUAAUGAAAGGUAACGGAGGGGAAAAACCCUUAAGGGGGGCUCAUCCCACCGAUCCCGAAGUCUUCCGAAGGAUUUGAGUAAAAACCUAGCUCUUGGGAACCCAAAAAAGGGCAACUCUAGGCGGAAAUGGGGGAAUCCCAGGAAAAUCUCUUGGAAGGUCCCAACGGUUUUAAAGGGGAAUCGGUCCGCCAAUUUUGCCUAAGGGGGCAAAAAUAAUUUCCACAUCUCCCGAAUGGAUUCGAUUCGUCCUCC
RNAcentral lists this ribosomal RNA (900 nucleotides) under Cadophora sp. Its description in RNAcentral is "LSU rRNA". It matches the Rfam family "Eukaryotic large subunit ribosomal RNA", at positions 51 to 944 of the family's 3401-position model. Lineage: Eukaryota; Fungi; Ascomycota; Leotiomycetes; Helotiales; Ploettnerulaceae. The record is from RNAcentral.